GACGAACGCUGGCGGCGUGCUUAACACAUGCAAGUCGAACGGAAAGGCCCUGCUUUUGUGGGGUGCUCGAGUGGCGAACGGGUGAGUAACACGUGAGUAACCUGCCCUUGACUUUGGGAUAACUUCAGGAAACUGGGGCUAAUACCGGAUAGGAGCUCCUGCUGCAUGGUGGGGGUUGGAAAGUUUCGGUGGUUGGGGAUGGACUCGCGGCUUAUCAGCUUGUUGGUGGGGUAGUGGCUUACCAAGGCUUUGACGGGUAGCCGGCCUGAGAGGGUGACCGGCCACAUUGAGACUGGGAUACGGCCCAGACUCCUACGGGAGGCAGCAGUGGGGAAUAUUGCACAAUGGGCGGAGGCCUGAUGCAGCAACGCCGCGUGCGGGAUGACGGCCUUCGGGUUGUAGACCGCUUUCGCCUGUGACGAAGCGUGAGUGACGGUAAUGUGUAAAGAAGCACCGGCUAACUACGUG
RNAcentral lists this ribosomal RNA (468 nucleotides) under uncultured bacterium. Its description in RNAcentral is "partial 16S ribosomal RNA". It matches the Rfam family "Bacterial small subunit ribosomal RNA", at positions 28 to 507 of the family's 1533-position model. The record is from RNAcentral.